AAAUUUGAAAGAACUGAAAUUGACAAUAUUUGUAGAAAUUGAAAUAGAAGAGCUUAUCAUCCAUCAACUUCUGAGGACAUAAAAUAUUCAAAGAGUGGCAAUGGAAAGCCAAGAGUGCAAGAUUCGUAACCAGUCAGUACUUGAUCGAGUCCAUAUUAAAGGAGAAGAAAAAAUAUUAACAUUUCACGGCCAUGGAGCCUGAGGGCC
This 207-nucleotide long non-coding RNA is filed under the name Elaeis guineensis (African oil palm). RNAcentral describes it as "long non-coding RNA (EGUI_LNC023656)". Lineage: Eukaryota; Viridiplantae; Streptophyta; Magnoliopsida; Arecales; Arecaceae. The record is from RNAcentral.